Molecule: ribosomal RNA, 301 nt
Filed under: uncultured bacterium
Lineage: Bacteria
Description: partial 16S ribosomal RNA
Rfam family: Bacterial small subunit ribosomal RNA
Source: RNAcentral
CAGUAGCCGCGGGAAUACGAAGGGGGCUAGCGUUGCUCGGAAUCACUGGGCGUAAAGGGUGCGUAGGCAGGUCUUUAAGUCAGGGGUGAAAUCCUGGAGCUCAACUCCAGAACUGCCUUGAUACUGAAGAUCUUGAGUUCGGGAGAGGUGAGUGGAACUGCGAGUGUAGAGGUGAAAUUCGUAGAUAUUCGCAAGAACACCAGUGGCGAAGGCGGCUCACUGGCCCGAUACUGACGCUGAGGCACGAAAGCGUGGGGAGCAAACAGGAUUAGAUACCCGAGUAGUCCCUGUCUCUUAUACA